This 233-nucleotide ribosomal RNA is filed under the name uncultured bacterium. RNAcentral describes it as "partial 16S ribosomal RNA". It matches the Rfam family "Bacterial small subunit ribosomal RNA", at positions 104 to 339 of the family's 1533-position model. The record is from RNAcentral.
GGGUGAGUAACACGUGGGCAAUCUGCCCCUAACUCUGGGAUAACUACUCGAAAGAGUAGCUAAUACCGGAUACGACACCUUGGGGCAUCCCGAGGUGUGGAAAGAAUUUCGGUCAAGGAUGAGCUCGCGGCCUAUCAGCUUGUUGGUGAGGUAAAGGCUCACCAAGGCGACGACGGGUAUCCGGCCUGAGAGGGCGACCGGACACACUGGGACUGAGACACGGCCCAGACUCC